AACGAACGCUGGCGGCAUGCCUAACACAUGCAAGUCGAACGAGACCUUCGGGUCUAGUGGCGCACGGGUGCGUAACGCGUGGGAACCUGCCCUUAGGUUCGGAAUAACUCCCCGAAAGGGGUGCUAAUACCGGAUAAUGUCUUCGGACCAAAGAUUUAUCGCCUUUGGAUGGGCCCGCGUUGGAUUAGCUAGUUGGUAGGGUAAAAGCCUACCAAGGCGACGAUCCAUAGCUGGUCUGAGAGGAUGAUCAGCCACACUGGGACUGAGACACGGCCCAGACUCCUACGGGAGGCAGCAGUGGGGAAUAUUGGACAAUGGGCGAAAGCCUGAUCCAGCAAUGACGCGUGAGUGAUGAAGGCCGUAGGGUUGUAAAGCGCUUUUACCCGGGAUGAUAAUGACAGUACCGGGAGAAUAAGCUCCGGCUAACUCCGUG
Molecule: ribosomal RNA, 433 nt
Filed under: uncultured bacterium
Lineage: Bacteria
Description: partial 16S ribosomal RNA
Rfam family: Bacterial small subunit ribosomal RNA
Source: RNAcentral